GACGAACGCUGGCGGCGUGCUUAACACAUGCAAGUCGAACGGAAAGGCCCUGCUUUUGUGGGGUGCUCGAGUGGCGAACGGGUGAGUAACACGUGAGUAACCUGCCCUUGACUUUGGGAUAACUUCAGGAAACUGGGGCUAAUACCGGAUAGGAGCUCCUGCUGCAUGGUGGGGGUUGGAAAGUUUCGGCGGUUGGGGAUGGACUCGCGGCUUAUCAGCUUGUUGGUGGGGUAGUGGCUUACCAAGGCUUUGACGGGUAGCCGGCCUGAGAGGGGGACCGGCCACAUUGGGACUGAGAUACGGCCCAGACUCCUAUGGGAGGCAGAAGUGGGGAAUAGUGCACAAGGGGCGGAAGCCUGAUGCAGCAACGCCGCGUGCGGGAUGACGGCCUUCGGGUUGUAAACCGCUUUCGCCUGUGACGAAGCGUGAGUGACGGUAAUGGGUAAAGAAGCACCGGCUAACUACGUG
RNAcentral lists this ribosomal RNA (468 nucleotides) under uncultured bacterium. Its description in RNAcentral is "partial 16S ribosomal RNA". It matches the Rfam family "Bacterial small subunit ribosomal RNA", at positions 28 to 507 of the family's 1533-position model. The record is from RNAcentral.